RNAcentral lists this long non-coding RNA (775 nucleotides) under Chloebia gouldiae (Gouldian finch). Its description in RNAcentral is "Erythrura gouldiae (Gouldian finch) lncRNA (ENSEGOG00005015928.1)". Lineage: Eukaryota; Metazoa; Chordata; Aves; Passeriformes; Passeridae. The record is from RNAcentral.
AUGGAAUUUCGGGGUCCAGGUCCGGCCUCCGCCCCAAAAAACGGAAAUUUUUGGGGCUCUUCCGUGUUUUUUUCACCCCAAAAAACGGAAAUUUUUGGGGCUCUUCCGUGUUUUUUUCACCCCAAAAAACGGAAAUUUUGGGGGUUUCGGGUCCGUUUUUCACCCCAAAAAAUGGAAAUUUUGGGGCUCUUCAACGUUCGGUUUUCACCCCCAAAAAUGGAAAGUUUGGGGCUGUCUGAGUCCUUUUUUGCCCCAAAAAGUGGAAAUUUUGGGGCUCUUCAACGUUCGGUUUUUCACCCCAAAAAAUGGAAAUUUUGGGGGCUUCAAUGUUNNGUUUUUCACCCCAAAAACUUGAAAUUUUGGGGCUCCUCAAGUCGUUUUUUCACCCCAAAAAACCUGAAGUUUUUGAGCUUUCAAAGUCGUUUUUUCACCCCAAAAUGGAAAUUUUUGGGGUUCUGAGUCCAUUUUCUGCCCCAUAAGUGAAGUUUUGGGGUCUCCAUUUCUGCCCCCCAAGUGCAGAUUUUGGGGUUUUUGGGGGGCCGGCGCUGCCGUCGGGGUUCCGGAAGGUUCCGCGGGCGGCGCUGGGAGCCCAAAGAAGAGACCCCGGAUUGGGGGGAAACGCCGCGAUUUGGGGAAAAAAACCAAAAUUCGGGAGGGGAACGCGCUGGGGGGGGGGGGGGGGCGGGAAUUUGGGGGGGUUUCGUCAAAUUUUGGGGGGAUUAAAAACAAAUUUGGGGGGAAUAAAAACAAAUUUGGGGGGAAUAAAAUCUAAUUU